Molecule: ribosomal RNA, 585 nt
Filed under: uncultured bacterium
Lineage: Bacteria
Description: bacterial SSU rRNA
Rfam family: Bacterial small subunit ribosomal RNA
Source: RNAcentral
UACGGGAGGCAGCAGUGGGGAAUCUUCCGCAAUGGACGAAAGUCUGACGGAGCAACGCCGCGUGAGUGAAGAAGGUUUUCGGAUUGUAAAGCUCUGUCUUCGGGGGCGAAUGAGUUUAUGGUGAAUAAUCAUAGGCAGUGACGGUACCUGAGGAGGAAGCCACGGCUAACUACGUGCCAGCAGCCGCGGUAAUACGUAGGUGGCAAGCGUUGUCCGGAAUUAUUGGGCGUAAAGGGCGCGCAGGCGGAAUGCCAAGUCUUUCUUAAAAGUGCUGGGCUUAACCCAGUGAGGGGAAGGAAACUGGUAUUCUUGAGUACAGGAGAGGAAAGUGGAAUUCCCAGUGUAGCGGUGAAAUGCGUAGAUAUUGGGAGGAACACCAGUGGCGAAGGCGACUUUCUGGACUGUGUCUGACGCUGAGGCGCGAAAGCCAGGGGGGUGAACGGGAUUAGAUACCCCGGUAAUCCUGGCCGUAAACGAUGGGUACUAGGUGUAGAGGGUAUCGACCCCUUCUGUGCCGGAGUUAACGCAAUAAGUACCCCGCCUGGGGAGUACGGCCGCAAGGUUGAAACUCAAAGGAAUUGACGG